GUUCAUGCAGUGGGAUUUAUGUCAUACAUUGAAAUUUCUCUUUCUCUUUCUCUUCUUGCAUUAAAGCUUGUUUCUAACUACUAGUCAGAAUCCAGAAUCCUUUUUUUGUGAGUCGGCCUCCUGGAACAGUCACUGGAAAUGACACCUGCGACGCAGCCGUGAUGGCUAUAAAAUGACAAAUUCGAAGAGGGGAAGGAGAAAAAGCGAGAAUGAGAGAAAAAGCAGGGGAAAAAAGUGUGUGACGGAGAGAGCAGGGUUUUCUCAGCGCUGGUAGGAGCAGAUGCAUUGCAAACGGAGAAGAGGAGGAGGCUGACUCGAUGAGACGAGCGAGAGAGAGACAAAAGACAGAGAAAGAGGGGGCCUCAUCAUAAAGAAUGUAAUACUGCCACUGUUGAACAUCAGCAGGGAGCUACAGGCAGAAGCCCUUCAGAGUCUUGAUCUGUGAAAGGCGAGAUGGGCAUAGAUCUCGGGUGGGAGAUGUUGAAAAAC
This is a long non-coding RNA of Cyprinus carpio carpio, 489 nucleotides long. NCBI's taxonomy places the organism in Eukaryota, Metazoa, Chordata, Actinopteri, Cypriniformes, Cyprinidae. The record is from Ensembl.